RNAcentral lists this transfer RNA (69 nucleotides) under Laetacara thayeri. RNAcentral's name for it is "tRNA-Glu". It matches the Rfam family "tRNA". From Rfam's summary of the family: Transfer RNA (tRNA) molecules are approximately 80 nucleotides in length. Their secondary structure includes four short double-helical elements and three loops (D, anti-codon, and T loops). The record is from RNAcentral. Lineage: Eukaryota; Metazoa; Chordata; Actinopteri; Cichliformes; Cichlidae.
GUUUUUGUAGUUAAAUAAUAACGGUGGUUCUUCAAACCAUGGGUCCUGGUUAAAGUCCAGGUAGAAAUU